This 85-nucleotide non-coding RNA is filed under the name human gut metagenome. RNAcentral describes it as "Glycine riboswitch". It matches the Rfam family "Glycine riboswitch aptamer", at positions 10 to 85 of the family's 94-position model. From Rfam's summary of the family: This family represents the bacterial glycine riboswitch. Glycine riboswitches usually consist of two metabolite-binding aptamers domains with similar structures in tandem. The aptamers cooperatively bind glycine to regulate the expression of downstream genes. The record is from RNAcentral.
CGCUCCGGAGAAGUCUGCUUAACAGAUGCCGAAGGUGCAAGGCGCUUAAAAAAGCGCCAAUCUCUCAGGCAAAAGGACGGAAGUU